UAAGACGGGGGGAGCAAGCAUUGUCCGGAAUUACUGGGCGUAAAGGGCACGUAGGCGGGCCCGUAAGUCAGGCGUGAAACCUCCCGGCUCAACCGGGAGCCUGCGCUUGAAACUGCGGGUCUUGAGUACGGGAGAGGAAAGCGGAACUGUGUGUGUAGCGGUGGAAUGCGUAGAUAUGCACAAGAACACCGGUGGCGAAGGCGGCUUUCUGGCCCGAUACUGACGCUGAAGUGCGAAAGCGUGGGGAGCGAACAGGAUUAGAUACCCUGGUAGUCCACGCCGUAAACGAUGGGCACUAGGUGUUGGAGGACUUGACCCCUCCAGUGCCGCAGCUAACGCAUUAAGUGCCCCGCCUGGGGAGUACGGUCGCAAGGCUG
This 377-nucleotide ribosomal RNA is filed under the name uncultured bacterium. Its description in RNAcentral is "bacterial SSU rRNA". It matches the Rfam family "Bacterial small subunit ribosomal RNA", at positions 521 to 896 of the family's 1533-position model. The record is from RNAcentral.